RNAcentral lists this small RNA (563 nucleotides) under Pan troglodytes (chimpanzee). Its description in RNAcentral is "processed transcript". The record is from RNAcentral. Lineage: Eukaryota; Metazoa; Chordata; Mammalia; Primates; Hominidae.
AGUAUCUGUGCUUGCCUGGACGAGACUCAGGUGUUAAUCAGAUGAAACUGCUCCUCCUCGGGUUGUCCCUCGCGGGCCGGGCGUCCCCUCAGCCACCCAUGGGGCACCCUUCGCCUCCCUCGGGGGAUGGGGGAUCGGCUUGCGUCCGGACCUCGGAAAGUGUCUGCCUUCUGCCUUUCCGAGCAAAAGGCCCUCUGUCUGACUCGUCGUUUCCUUAGCGAGGACGGGCUGCAGCCUGCUGCCGGGGGAUCCAGCUUUUUACUUGAGAGGGCAGGAUUCCCCUACUGGGGCUCCUCUCCCCCUCCUUUCUGGGAACCCCCACCCCGGUAGAGCGUCCCGAGGCUGUGAGUGAUAGUUGCUUCAGGAAUCUUGCAGAAGACCGCAGUGGGAUAAAUCUCAAAGAUCUCGUACAAGAUCCUUCUUUGUUGGGUGGGACUAUAUCAGCAUACAAGAUAGUACCAGACGAAAUAGAAGAAAUCAAGGAAACCCUGAUAGAUUGGUGUGAUGAAAAGGAACUUAAUUUGAUAUUAACAACUGGAGGAACAGGAUUUGCACCGCGAGAU